AUUGAACGCUGGCGGCAGGCCUAACACAUGCAAGUCGAACGGUAACAGGAAGCAGCUUGCUGCUUUGCUGACGAGUGGCGGACGGGUGCGUAAUGUCUGGGAAACUGCCCGAUGGAGGGGGAUAACUACUGGAAACGGUAGCUAAUACCGCAUAACGUCGCAAGACCAAAGAGGGGGACCUUAGGGCCUCUUGCCAUCGGAUGUGCCCAGAUGGGAUUAGCUUGUAGGUGGGGUAACGGCUCACCUAGGCGACGAUCCCUAGCUGGUCUGAGAGGAUGACCAGCCACACUGGAACUGAGACACGGUCCAGACUCCUACGGGAGGCAGCAGUGGGGAAUAUUGCACAAUGGGCGCAAGCCUGAUGCAGCCAUGCCGCGUGUAUGAAGAAGGCCUUCGGGUUGUAAAGUACUUUCAGCGGGGAGGAAGGGAGUAAAGUUAAUACCUUUGCUCAUUGACGUUACCCGCAGAAGAAGCACCGGCUAACUCCGUG
RNAcentral lists this ribosomal RNA (490 nucleotides) under uncultured bacterium. Its description in RNAcentral is "partial 16S ribosomal RNA". It matches the Rfam family "Bacterial small subunit ribosomal RNA", at positions 30 to 507 of the family's 1533-position model. The record is from RNAcentral.